AUGGCCAUCGUUCAUGGCGAUGUGAAGUCAGCUAACAUUCUCCUCGACGACAGGUUUGUGCCAAAGGUGUCAGACUUUGGCACGUCGAGGCUCCUGUCCAUGGACAAGGACCACCACACCAACUGGGUGAUCGCGGACAGGCACUACAUUGACCCCGUGUACAUGAAAACCGGGCUGCUCACCACGAAGAGCGAUGUGUAUAGCUUCAGUAUCAUCCUGCUGGAGCUCGUCACCCGGAAGAAGGCGAUUUACAAUGGAAAUCAAAGCCUUCCCAUGGAAUAUAUCAAGGCUUCCGUGGAAGGGUCAGCGAGGCAGAUGUUUGAUAAAGACAUUGUGGCAAAUAGGGAGGAGCAUAUGGAGUGCCUCGAGGAGGUUGGCAAGAUCGCGCUGCAGUGUCUCGAUGAGAACGACGUAAAUGACAGGCCCACCAUGGGUGAAGUCGUGGACAGACUUAAAGCGUGUAAGAGCCAGUGGUUGGAAUGUCAUUGA
Molecule: ribosomal RNA, 489 nt
Filed under: Triticum aestivum (bread wheat)
Lineage: Eukaryota; Viridiplantae; Streptophyta; Magnoliopsida; Poales; Poaceae
Description: partial small subunit ribosomal RNA
Source: RNAcentral